GGCUGGUCCGAGUACAGUAGUGUUUACAACUAAUUGAUCACAACCAGUUACAGAUUUCUUGGUCCCUUCUCCACUCCCACUGCUUCACUUGACUAGCCUUAA
Molecule: unclassified non-coding RNA, 102 nt
Organism: Gorilla gorilla gorilla (western lowland gorilla)
Lineage: Eukaryota; Metazoa; Chordata; Mammalia; Primates; Hominidae
Rfam family: Y RNA
About the family: Y RNAs are components of the Ro ribonucleoprotein particle (Ro RNP), in association with Ro60 and La proteins.
Source: Ensembl